Molecule: ribosomal RNA, 263 nt
Filed under: uncultured bacterium
Lineage: Bacteria
Description: partial 16S ribosomal RNA
Rfam family: Bacterial small subunit ribosomal RNA
Source: RNAcentral
GUCCUGGCCGUAAACGGUGGACACUAGGUGUUGGAGGCAUCGACACCUCCAGUGCCGCAGCUAACGCAUUAAGUGUCCCGCCUGGGGAGUACGACCGCAAGGUUGAAACUCAAAGGAAUUGACGGGGGCCCGCACAAGCGGUGGAGCAUGUGGUUUAAUUCGACGCAACGCGAAGAACCUUACCGGGGUUUGACAUGCACGGGACAGGUGUGGAAACACACCCUCCCUUCGGGGUCCGUGCACAGGUGCUGCAUGGCUGUCGU